AACGAACGCUGGCGGCAGGCCUAACACAUGCAAGUCGAGCGCCCUUUCGGGGGAGCGGCGGACGGGUGAGUAACGCGUGGGAAUAUGCCCUUCUCUACGGAAUAGCCUCGGGAAACUGAGAGUAAUACCGUAUACGCCCUGUGGGGGAAAGAUUUAUCGGGGAAGGAUUAGCCCGCGUUGGAUUAGGUAGUUGGUGGGGUAAUGGCCUACCAAGCCGACGAUCCAUAGCUGGUUUGAGAGGAUGAUCAGCCACACUGGGACUGAGACACGGCCCAGACUCCUACGGGAGGCAGCAGUGGGGAAUCUUAGACAAUGGGGGCAACCCUGAUCUAGCCAUGCCGCGUGAGUGAUGAAGGCCUUAGGGUUGUAAAGCUCUUUCAGCUGGGAGGAUAAUGACGGUACCAGCAGAAGAAGCCCCGGCUAACUCCGUG
Molecule: ribosomal RNA, 431 nt
Filed under: uncultured bacterium
Lineage: Bacteria
Description: partial 16S ribosomal RNA
Rfam family: Bacterial small subunit ribosomal RNA
Source: RNAcentral